AUGAUUUCGAGAAAAGCGAUGCAAUAAAAGAAAACAACAUGCAUCAUUAGUUUCCUACACGUAUCCCCAUCUCACCACUUGGUACGACUUAGAAUAAAAGCAUAAAAACAAACACAGUGAAAAAAGAUAACCUCACCUCAUUCGUUCACUCCCUCUCUCCCUACCUACACACCUCAACCGAACAAAACUUUCUCCUGCAAACUGAAAUCCAUUCAUCUUCUUCCAACAAAACAAAACCAAAGCCCAAUUUAAACAAAAAAAACGAACCACCUAAAAUUCCAGAACCAAAGAUGAAUACCUCAUGGUGUUCAUCAUCAAAAUCUCAGUAGAUCCGAGCAAACCGAUUUCCUAUUUCAACAAAAAGAAACAAAACCCACAACAAAACAAAAAACAUAACCAACUCAAACCAAAAAUAGCAAAGCUUCUUACAAAUCUACAAUAGUCCAGACUUAACUCAAACAAUCAUGAAUAAGUAACGAAUCAUCAAAUCACACAUGCAAUCGGCGACUACAUGGAGCUGUAAUGCCUUGGAAAGGUUGAAUAAAGGGGUGAAGGAUGACGCCGGAGUUUUGCGACUCCGACGAUACUCCGACGAAUUUUACCUCAAGUAUGGUGCUCACUAAUAGGCUUUCACUGCAGUUACUCUCAGUAAAGUGAUGGUAAUCCAAGGCUUAUGGAUGAUUUUGGUUUUGCGAUGGUGUAUUUUGAUAUUUUGUAUUACCCUUCCCUUUUCCUUUAGAUGUCUAAACGAAACCUUAUGUCUUAUUUAAAAAGUUAAAUGGUAAUAAUUAAGGGAUGAAAAGAACCAUACACGGUCCCUCUUUAUGACUUCAAUUAUCUUCUAGUGUCUUAUAUUCAUAGAGCAAUGUUAAUAUCAACUAGUUUCUGUUAUUCUGGUUUAUUUGUCACAAGUUGCAGUCGGCCAAAACCUUUUGGACGGUUUGGACUUUCAUGUUUCAGAGUUUUGAAAUAAGGCAUUCUUCUUUACACUUAGACCUUCCUUGGGUCAUCUAUGAUAUCUCUUUUUUUUUACACGUCAUGUUUCGUCGUAUUUCGUCUGUUAGGAAAUGAGCGCGUAAUGGUCUGUUGAAAUGGAUGUAGAACUGGGUGCAAAGGGGAGCAAGUUUGAGUUUUGACAUGAUUGUUAUGUAAUUUAUCUUGUAGUAAUGAAUUUGAAACAA
Long non-coding RNA from Lathyrus oleraceus (garden pea), 1181 nucleotides. RefSeq lists it as uncharacterized. The record is from RefSeq and is a predicted model, not a curated record. The transcript has 2 exons. Lineage: Eukaryota; Viridiplantae; Streptophyta; Magnoliopsida; Fabales; Fabaceae.